Molecule: long non-coding RNA, 471 nt
Filed under: Calidris pugnax (ruff)
Lineage: Eukaryota; Metazoa; Chordata; Aves; Charadriiformes; Scolopacidae
Description: lncRNA (ENSCPUG00000017224.1)
Source: RNAcentral
AGCUCCUUUCCAAUCUUUUUUACUCUAGAGAGUGCCUAUAAUUUUCCCGGGCUAGUAACAAACCUCUGAUUGACCGCUCCUCAGCUUUGAACAGUGUCUUUUACCAUCUCAGCUAUACAGAUUGUGUACCUUGACUUAUCUUCAUCUUCUUCUGAUGUACAGUUCCUCUAACUCCUCUUGCUGGUUUCCACAGGUCAACUGUUGGUGUUUAGAGACGCUGGAAGGGUAACCCACUCUGAAGUUUCAUGCUACCUGCUCAUUUCCUGAAUGGGAAACUGCCAAGUUCCAUCUCCUCCCUACCACAGUUAACUCCAGGACAUUAGAAAAGAUCCUGAGUCCAAAAGGUUGGAUUAAGAUCUUCACUUCUUCAACAGCUGAGGUCAGUGGCUCCUGUCAUUUGGUUUGCACUUCUUCUUACUCGGUCUGAGACAGGUUACAAAUAGACUCCCCCAACCUAACAAGCAAGCAGGU